CUAUGUCAAAGCUAGAAAGCUAAAUGAACCUCAAACUACUUCGUUUGAUUAUUACUUAACGAAAAAUCCAUGGCUGCGAUGCGUUGUUAUCUGCAUUGUCCUCCAGGAUGGGUGUGUGCACAUUGAACUGCAGCAGGAAGAACAGAUGAAGCAUGUUCUGAAAUGUUUUUUCAAGCAUCGUGACAGAGGAUUUGCUGUAACUCAGGGCUGUUAAAAGAUGAAUCCUCCUCCAUCUGAUCUCCUGACAGCUCCAGAAGAAAAACUGUCUUUGAAGCAGCAUUUGGACAGCUAUGUCACCGUUGAGGAAACUGAGACUUUCUGCUGCUUCCAUUCACUGCAGUGUUUUCUACAACAGCUAUAGCGUGCUGCACACUUAAAUGGGAAAACAUGUAUAAUAAGAAGAAAACUGUUGUUUCCACUAUUGUUAGUUCCAAUUUAGUUAC
Long non-coding RNA from Gambusia affinis (western mosquitofish), 443 nucleotides. RefSeq lists it as uncharacterized. Lineage: Eukaryota; Metazoa; Chordata; Actinopteri; Cyprinodontiformes; Poeciliidae. The record is from RefSeq and is a predicted model, not a curated record. The transcript has 3 exons.